Molecule: transfer RNA, 64 nt
Filed under: Hypothenemus sp. BMNH 1039866
Lineage: Eukaryota; Metazoa; Arthropoda; Insecta; Coleoptera; Curculionidae
Description: tRNA-Asn
Source: RNAcentral
UUAAUAGAAACCAAAAAAGAGGUAAAUCACUGUUAAUGAUUAAAUUGGUUAAUACCCUAUUAAA